This is a long non-coding RNA of Marmota monax (woodchuck), 422 nucleotides long. RefSeq lists it as uncharacterized. The record is from RefSeq and is a predicted model, not a curated record. NCBI's taxonomy places the organism in Eukaryota, Metazoa, Chordata, Mammalia, Rodentia, Sciuridae. The transcript has 4 exons.
CUGCUUGGUUAGUGGUAAUGCCUUUGGUUCCUUGAUUCCAGGACACAACCAAUCUAAAGUACUCCGGUCUAGCUGUGUUUCCCAGGCUGUCUUUGAACUUUCAGUCCUGCUGCCUCAUCCUUCGGGGUCUCUACCAUUAGAGAGAGAUGCUCUGGGUCCCCUGCUGGAGGCGUGACAGCACCAUUCAUAUUCUUUGCAGAGAAGGCACUGUAGAAGAACAGAUGGAUCAAGGGGCCCUACCCAAGAGACAAGAGCACCCCCAAGAAGAUGGAGAUGCUCACACCUGCAGGCCGGAGCCUCUACUUCCAACUGCUUACCAAGAUGAGGCAAACAAAGAUCAGAGAGAUAAAGCACUUCACAGGAGUGGUGGAACCCGUUUUGAAAGUAUGUUGAAAUGUCAAGAGCUAUGUACUGUUUUGAAC